This 100-nucleotide signal recognition particle RNA is filed under the name Deinococcus yavapaiensis KR-236. RNAcentral's name for it is "Bacterial small signal recognition particle RNA". It matches the Rfam family "Bacterial small signal recognition particle RNA". From Rfam's summary of the family: The signal recognition particle (SRP) is a universally conserved ribonucleoprotein involved in the co-translational targeting of proteins to membranes. Archaeal SRP consists of a 7S RNA and homologues of the eukaryotic SRP19 and SRP54 proteins. Lineage: Bacteria; Thermotogati; Deinococcota; Deinococci; Deinococcales; Deinococcaceae. The record is from RNAcentral.
UUGCUGGCGCAGCGCAGCGGCGACGCUCGAACCUGGUCAGGGCCGGAAGGCAGCAGCCAUAAGGGAUGAUCGUUGGGUGCCGCUGCUUACCGGCAAUGCU